Drosophila biarmipes is the source of this 1024-nucleotide long non-coding RNA. RefSeq lists it as uncharacterized. The transcript has 3 exons. The record is from RefSeq and is a predicted model, not a curated record. Lineage: Eukaryota; Metazoa; Arthropoda; Insecta; Diptera; Drosophilidae.
UCAUCCGAUUGCACAACACACACGGCUCUUAUCAGGACUCAAUAAAUUUCUGUCUCGACACGAAAUGCACACCUGUGUUUUCGGCGAGAACGGAGGAUCAGGUAGCUGUCAGCCAGCUGCGAGUUGCUUAACCCCGCCGCCAGCCAGCCCCACUUUUAUUAUUUUCAGCGCCGUGGCUUGGCUUUUUUAAUCUCUCCUCUGGAACCCUGUGAAACCCCGACGCGGCCAGACAGUUGGGUAUACAAAAUAUGUCAACAGAGGCGACAGCCGGCAAAAAGAAGGCGAACUCCGGCGGCCACUGUUUGCUUAGACCUUUAGACACUGGCCAGACAAUGGCCGGUCAAGUCAGCGGCGUAUCUGUCUGCCUGUCACGGGGAUAGCACUCCGGUCCGCUGCGAUUCGCCGGAAUAUUCCGAUGGAUAAACGGAUAAACCGCACUGACAUCCCGUCAGGACGUUGAAUGGAUUUGAAUGAAUCGAACAGCAAUUAUGUACCGACUUAUUGCUACGAAAAUAAUUGAAGACGAGGAGGAGAUUAUGUGAUUCGAUUGCACUUAGGGAAACCAAAGAAUUCGAGACCCUUGAAGUUCGAAACAUAUCUUUAAGCUUUGGCAUUAUUGAUUACUUCUCGUCUAGUCUUAGUCCCACAAAAUAAGAAACAUGUACACCAAGUUUAAUCAAGGCCCGAAGACUCCUUUUCGUCGAGUGUGCGAGAACAUUCAUCGAACCCCAUUGACUCUUUCGGGGUCUUUGUGAUGAAGUAUGUGGAUAGAAAACCGCACAGACCGCAAGGGAUUACUACAUCAGAAGAAACCGCAAAAGGGGUUAAUGCACUCUUUGCACAUGGGACACAACGAGCCAAUUGGGUUUAGUGAGCAUUCAAAGGUUGCCAGGGUCCUGUCACAUGUUCGCCAUUUAAUAUUUAUUAAUGGUCGGAGUGAAAACAAAAAUGUGGAAAACCAAACCAAAAUUGAAUGCAUCAGCGAGCCAGUUAAUAUUAAAUUGCCGCAUCGAUAGGCACAACA